GCUGAGGGAUGCUCUCAGAGCGGCUCCGCACCGGGAGCCGAGCGGGAGGUGGGUGAGCCCGUGCCCGUGCCCGUGCCCGUGCCCGUGCCCGUGCCCGUGCCCGUGCCCGUGCCCGUGCCCGUGCCCGUGCCCGUGCCCGUGCCCGUGCCCGGAGCCCCUCAGCUCCCACAGCGACCCUUCCGACACAAGAGUCCCCUUCGGGGCCCUCUCCGGGGCUGUAGGAUCUGUGAGAGGGGUCGGGGAUCCAGGACGGCGUUCUUUUCCGUCCCUGUCAGAUCUUACGGAGCGAGGCAGACCUUGUGUUGAAAGUAGUGCAAAGUCCUUAGGUGUCUCAUCAAUGAAUCUCGGGUGACAAAAGCCUGGAGGAAGCCAGACCAGCUCUUCUCUGUCACAGAGCACAAGGGCAAAGCAGAGGAAAGAAGCCAAACCCAUAAAGGAGGAAGAAAGCUCUGAAAAGGUAAACCAGCAUGAGAAAUGCUCACUCAAAGCUCCGAAGCAGAGGUUAAGUCUCCCUUCUCAGAACUGCGAGUGCUCUUUCACCCUGAAAACCAAGACUACAUUUUAAGGGAAGGUGUUCCAGACCUCUGACCGUCUUUGUGGCCUCCUCUGGACCUGCUGCAAUAGAUCCCUAUCUUUGCUGUCCUGAGGACCCCAGAGCUGGAUGUAGCACUGCAGCAGUGUUAAAGUCUUGCUGGUUUUUCAAUAUGGAAGACUAUUCAAAUGUCCUUAACACAACAGCACAAAGAGCACAAUCUUACAGGGAGCUGCAUGAUACAGAACCAAAGAAAAGGAGAGUGAAAAAGACCCCACAAGGUCAUAUAAUCCAAGAGUUUGCCUAAGGAAAGAGUACAGGGAGCACUAAUAUCUGCUGAACUGCCUUGCCAAAACUUGGAUACAACUUGGAUACAAGGCCCCCAGUAACAGCCUUCCCUUGCACUUUCAGACCUCCUUUUCUGUAAAGCAUUGGGAGCUGUGAGUGUGCCAGGAGAGAGCUCACUGCAGGACCUGAGCUUCUGCCCUGAAGCUGUAAGACAAUAAAGCUUAUCCCGCUUGUUCAGGUUAUGCAGAGUGA
This is a long non-coding RNA of Vidua chalybeata, 1072 nucleotides long. RefSeq lists it as uncharacterized. The record is from RefSeq and is a predicted model, not a curated record. NCBI's taxonomy places the organism in Eukaryota, Metazoa, Chordata, Aves, Passeriformes, Viduidae. The transcript has 6 exons.